GAUGAACGCUGGCGGCGUGCCUAAUACAUGCAAGUCGAGCGAACAGAUGAGGAGCUUGCUCCUCUGACGUUAGCGGCGGACGGGUGAGUAACACGUGGAUAACCUACCUAUAAGACUGGGAUAACUUCGGGAAACCGGAGCUAAUACCGGAUAAUAUAUUGAACCGCAUGGUUCAAUAGUGAAAGACGGUUUUGCUGUCACUUAUAGAUGGAUCCGCGCCGCAUUAGCUAGUUGGUAAGGUAACGGCUUACCAAGGCAACGAUGCGUAGCCGACCUGAGAGGGGGAUCGGCCACACUGGAACUGAGACACGGGCCAGACUCCGACGGGAGGCAGCAGUAGGGAAUCUUCCGCAAUGGGCGAAAGCCUGACGGAGCAACGCCGCGUGAGUGAUGAAGGUCUUCGGAUCGUAAAACUCUGUUAUUAGGGAAGAACAAAUGUGUAAGUAACGAUGCACGUCUGGACGGUACCUAUCAGAAAGCCACGGCUAACUACGUG
This 496-nucleotide ribosomal RNA is filed under the name uncultured bacterium. RNAcentral's name for it is "partial 16S ribosomal RNA". It matches the Rfam family "Bacterial small subunit ribosomal RNA", at positions 28 to 507 of the family's 1533-position model. The record is from RNAcentral.